This 520-nucleotide ribosomal RNA is filed under the name uncultured Glomus. Its description in RNAcentral is "SSU rRNA". It matches the Rfam family "Eukaryotic small subunit ribosomal RNA", at positions 569 to 1088 of the family's 1831-position model. Lineage: Eukaryota; Fungi; Glomeromycota; Glomeromycetes; Glomerales; Glomeraceae. The record is from RNAcentral.
CGCAGCCGCGGUAAUUCCAGCUCCAAUAGCGUAUAUUAAAGUUGUUGCAGUUAAAAAGCUCGUAGUUGAAUUUCGGGGUUAGUAGGUUGGUCAUGCCUCUGGUAUGUACUGGUCUCACUGAUUCCUCCUUCCUGAUGAGCCGUAAUGCCAUUAAUUUGGUGUUGCGGGGAAUUUGGACUGUUACUUUGAAAAAAUUUAGAGUGUUUAAAGCAGGCUUACGCUUGAAUACAUUAGCAUGGAAUAAUGAAAUAGGACGUAUGAUCCUAUUUUGUUGGUUUCUAGGAUUGACGUAAUGAUUAAUAGGGAUAGUUGGGGGCGAUUAGUAUUCAAUUGUCAGAGGUGAAAUUCUUGGAUUUAUUGAAGACUAACUACUGCGAAAGCAUUUGCCAAGGAUGUUUUCAUUAAUCAAGAACGAAAGUUAGGGGAUCGAAGACGAUCAGAUACCGUCGUAGUCUUAACCAUAAACUAUGCCGACUAGGGAUCGGAUGAUGUUAAUUUUUUAAUGACUCAUUCGGCGCCU